GGGAAAAUUAACUAACGAACGGAGAUGUAACAAUAUAAUAGUAUUGUUUUAAGCUGCAUUUUCAAUGUUGUAAUUAAUUGUUUGCUAGAGAGAGCUGUUGGUUGUAAUAAUUGUGCUAUGAUGGAGAGGCUGAGGGAAGCACCUAGAAUUUAGAAACGAGGAUAUAGAUGUAAAUAGGAGUAGACAGUUCAGAGAUAGUAAAUGAUUAUUCAGUGACGUUGUGAGUUACGUAUUUGAUUCUCCGACAAAGUAGUAACUGAAGGAGGCAUAUAUCUGUUUUUAGAGCAAUUCAUAUAUCUUCUGUUUAUGUUAACUGUUACGAAGUCCAUACAAUGCCAAUAACUGAUGAGCCCUGGUAUUGGACAGAAGACCUCGUCAACAAUGGAUAUGUGCCUUCAGGUGGUGAACUCCUACCCUACGGUGUCCAGAACGCAAGGACUGGACUGACUUGCCUGAGUGUACUGACC
Long non-coding RNA from Limulus polyphemus (Atlantic horseshoe crab), 467 nucleotides. RefSeq lists it as uncharacterized. The transcript has 3 exons. The record is from RefSeq and is a predicted model, not a curated record. Lineage: Eukaryota; Metazoa; Arthropoda; Merostomata; Xiphosura; Limulidae.